UAACGGGAGGCAGCAGUAGGGAAUCUUCCACAAUGGACGCAAGUCUGAUGGAGCAACGCCGCGUGAGUGAAGAAGGUUUUCGGAUCGUAAAGCUCUGUUGUUGGUGAAGAAGGACAUGGAUAGUAACUGAUCUAUGUUUGACGGUAAUCAACCAGAAAGUCACGGCUAACUACGUGCCAGCAGCCGCGGUAAUACGUAGGUGGCAAGCGUUGUCCGGAUUUAUUGGGCGUAAAGCGAACGCAGGCGGGAGAACAAGUCAGCUGUGAAAGCCCUCGGCUUAACCGAGGAACGGCAACUGAAACUGUUUUUCUUGAGUGCAGAAGAGGAGAGUGGAACUCCAUGUGUAGCGGUGAAAUGCGUAGAUAUAUGGAAGAACACCAGUGGCGAAGGCGGCUCUCUGGUCUGUAACUGACGCUGAGGUUCGAAAGCAUGGGUAGCGAACAGGAUUAGAUACCCUGGUAGUCCAUGCCGUAAACGAUGAGUGCUAAGUGUUGGGAGGUUUCCGCCUCUCAGUGCUGCAGCUAACGCAUUAAGCACUCCGCCUGGGGAGUACGACCGCAAGGUUAAAACUCNAAGGAAUUGACGGGGGCCGNCACAANCNGUG
Molecule: ribosomal RNA, 604 nt
Filed under: Lactobacillus sp.B A52
Lineage: Bacteria; Bacillati; Bacillota; Bacilli; Lactobacillales; Lactobacillaceae
Description: bacterial SSU rRNA
Rfam family: Bacterial small subunit ribosomal RNA
Source: RNAcentral